AGGCUUAACACAUGCAAGUCGAGCGGGGAUAGGGUGCUUGCACCUGAUUCCUAGCGGCGGACGGGUGAGUAAUGCUUAGGAAUCUGCCUAUUAGUGGGGGACAACGUUCCGAAAGGGACGCUAAUACCGCAUACGUCCUACGGGAGAAAGCAGGGGAUCUUCGGACCUUGCGCUAAUAGAUGAGCCUAAGUCGGAUUAGCUAGUUGGUGGGGUAAAGGCCUACCAAGGCGACGAUCUGUAGCGGGUCUGAGAGGAUGAUCCGCCACACUGGGACUGAGACACGGCCCAGACUCCUACGGGAGGCAGCAGUGGGGAAUAUUGGACAAUGGGGGGAACCCUGAUCCAGCCAUGCCGCGUGUGUGAAGAAGGCCUUUUGGUUGUAAAGCACUUUAAGCGAGGAGGAGGCUUACCUGGUUAAUACCUGGGAUAAGUGGACGUUACUCGCAGAAUAAGCACCGGCUAACUCUGUGCCAGCAGCCGCGGUAAUACAGAGGGUGCAAGCGUUAAUCGGAUUUACUGGGCGUAAAGCGCGCGUAGGUGGCUAAUUAAGUCAAAUGUGAAAUCCCCGAGCUUAACUUGGGAAUUGCAUUCGAUACUGGUUAGCUAGAGUAUGGGAGAGGAUGGUAGAAUUCCAGGUGUAGCGGUGAAAUGCGUAGAGAUCUGGAGGAAUACCGAUGGCGAAGGCAGCCAUCUGGCCUAAUACUGACACUGAGGUGCGAAAGCAUGGGGAGCAAACAGGAUUAGAUACCCUGGUAGUCCAUGCCGUAAACGAUGUCUACUAGCCGUUGGGGCCCUUGAGGCUUUAGUGGCGCAGCUAACGCGAUAAGUAGACCGCCUGGGGAGUACGGUCGCAAGACUAAA
Molecule: ribosomal RNA, 861 nt
Filed under: Acinetobacter sp. SP037
Lineage: Bacteria; Pseudomonadati; Pseudomonadota; Gammaproteobacteria; Moraxellales; Moraxellaceae
Description: bacterial SSU rRNA
Rfam family: Bacterial small subunit ribosomal RNA
Source: RNAcentral